GACGGAGGGCGCGAGCGUUGUUCGGAAUCACUGGGCGUAAAGCGCGCGCAGGCGGGCGGGUGAGUCGGACGUGAAAGCCCGGGGCUCAACCCCGGACCCGCGUCCGAUACUAUCCGUCUGGGGACCGGUAGAGGCCGGUGGAAUUCCCGGUGUAGCGGUGGAAUGCGUAGAGAUCGGGAAGAACACCAGUGGCGAAGGCGGCCGGCUGGGCCGGAGGCUCUUCGGAGCCGAUCCGACGCUGAGGCGCGAAAGCG
This 254-nucleotide unclassified non-coding RNA is filed under the name uncultured Gemmatimonadota bacterium. RNAcentral's name for it is "uncultured Gemmatimonadetes bacterium contains 16S-23S intergenic spacer region". It matches the Rfam family "Bacterial small subunit ribosomal RNA", at positions 524 to 761 of the family's 1533-position model. The record is from RNAcentral. Lineage: Bacteria; Pseudomonadati; Gemmatimonadota.